GCGAUCCAAAUUAGAAACGUAGAUCGACAUGCUCCACCUCCGCAACGCAAAAAAAAAAAAAAAAAAAAAAAGAAAGAAACGGCACACGCUACUCCUCCGCGACGCGAAAAAAAAAGAAACGGCGCCUCCUCUUCUCACUCGUCACCCGACACCGCAGACUUCUCCCUCUCCGCCGUCGUCGUAUCCCGCCUCCUUCACACCAUCGCCGCCCCUCAAUCCAUCCUCGCGCCUCCCUCGACCGCCGCCGCACCGAUCCGAUCUCUCUCGCGCUUCUCCCCCGCCGCCGCCGCUCCAGAUCCCCCCGCUUUUCCUCCUCCUUCCGCCCACCUGCCAUCGACGCCACUGCCCCUGCUGCUGACUCCACCUCCUCCCCGCCGCCGACGCCUAGCGCCGCUGCUGCCCACCCGCAACCGCCAUUGCCCAACCGCAACCGCCAUACCCCGCCUUUCCUCCUUCCGCCCACCUGCCACCGACGCCGCCGCCCCUGGCAGUGACUCCUCCCCGACGCCGACGCCACCGCCGCCGACGCCUACUGCAACCGACGCCGAAUCCCCCGCCGCCAACGCCACCGCCACCGCCGUCGACGCCUACUCCUUUGGCAGUGUGGAGGACUGCUGCUUCCCUAAGGUGGUGGAGUUGUCUCGGAGGCACUCCCUCAAGGCUGCUGAGGCCACCCCGUUCAAGAGACUGAAUGUGAAUAUACUCUUGAGAAAUUUGCAGUAA
This 723-nucleotide long non-coding RNA is filed under the name Oryza sativa tropical japonica subgroup. Its description in RNAcentral is "lncRNA OsCMeo_07g0014050". The record is from RNAcentral. Lineage: Eukaryota; Viridiplantae; Streptophyta; Magnoliopsida; Poales; Poaceae.